CAGCAGCCACGGUGAUACGUAGGGUGCAAGCGUUAAUCGGAAUUACUGGGCGUAAAGCGUGCGCAGGCGGUUAUAUAAGACAGAUGUGAAAUCCCCGGGAUCAACCUGGGAACUGCAUUUGUGACUGUAUAGCUAGAGUACGGCAGAGGGGGAUGGAAUUCCGCGUGUAGCAGUGAAAUGCGUAGAUAUGCGGAGGAACACCGAUGGCGAAGGCAAUCCCCUGGGCCUGUACUGACGCUCAUGCACGAAAGCGUGGGGAGCAAACAGGAUUAGAUACCCCUGUAGUCCCUGUCUCUUAUAC
This 301-nucleotide ribosomal RNA is filed under the name uncultured bacterium. RNAcentral describes it as "partial 16S ribosomal RNA". It matches the Rfam family "Bacterial small subunit ribosomal RNA", at positions 509 to 807 of the family's 1533-position model. The record is from RNAcentral.